Long non-coding RNA from Nerophis ophidion (straightnose pipefish), 1040 nucleotides. RefSeq lists it as uncharacterized. Lineage: Eukaryota; Metazoa; Chordata; Actinopteri; Syngnathiformes; Syngnathidae. The record is from RefSeq and is a predicted model, not a curated record. The transcript is spliced from 3 exons.
UCUGGAUGGCAUGAAUAUAUAAUAAUGAAUCAUCAACAUGCGGCCUCCACAAGUCCUAAUCAGUGGUUGGAUGUGUGCACGCCGGGCUCAGGGGGCGGUCCUGCCGGGCUCAGGGGGCGGUCCUGCCGGGCUCAGGGGGCGGUCCUGCCAGGCGGCCACACCCCUUCCCUCCUUCCUCAGAUGUUCUUGCAGCAAGGCUUCUUCUCCUCCUCCGGGUGUGGCACCACGCUGGGGUUGAGCGUCACGGCGCUGAUGGAACCUCGCACCACUUCCUUGCUGCUCACCUUCUUGUGGAUCUCUAGGGUUGGACAUUCAGUGCAAGUCAUCAGCUCAAAGUUCUCUUCCACAGGAGGCUUCCACAGCGAGUCUACUGCCAGACUGAAGUUGGAACUACACGCUGCUUUGUAUUAGAAAGGGCAACGUGCAUGUACGAGCCAGUCUGCCCCACCACAAGAGGACAGAGACAAAGAAGCAAUGAGUGACUACAAGGUUGGAGCACAGUGGCCGACUGGAGCAAAGCACUAUGGGACGUAUGAAGGAAGAGAAGAUUGUUUUGUUCAACAUCUCCACUACGCCUUCAGGCCUGGAUUUCACAUGUUUGGGACUUAUGCAGAUCCCAAAUACACAAGGUCAGGUACCAAUAGGUUAGAAAAGUGGCUUUUGCAUAACAGGAACCCACUAAAACUAACACAAAGUUAUUUAAAAUUCAUUUUGAAAUACAAAAAAUUCAAUAAAAACAAAAUUGACCUUUUUCAGUGUCACAGGAUGAUAACUAAAUGUAACUCAAUCUUUUUACUUGAUUGUUCGUCGCACAAGAAUGAACAUCUCUAGUCAGCAGAAAGGAAGCCAAGGGCCCAAAACUGAUGUUGUCUUAUAUUCUCACACUGGAAAUGUAGCAAGUGACCCGAAAGAGACAAGAUGGUCUCCUGGGUUCUGCCAGCACUGUUGUCCAAAUCAACAAGCUGAAAAAAUAUGGCACUAAUCAUCAAGACACUUCCAUCAACCAUCAAUACACCGUAUUUUUGGGAGUAUAAGUCGCA